This 673-nucleotide unclassified non-coding RNA is filed under the name Hevea brasiliensis (rubber tree). The record is from RNAcentral. Lineage: Eukaryota; Viridiplantae; Streptophyta; Magnoliopsida; Malpighiales; Euphorbiaceae.
CUCUCUCUCUCUCUCUCUCUGAAUUUCAUUUUCUCAUGAAAACCUCAAACCCCACUUGGAAGAAAUUGGAUUUGCUUCUCUUUUAAGUUCCCUUUCAAGCUCAAAGUCUUCUCUCUCUUUUAACUUUGUCUGCUUCGUUUUCAAGAACAUAAAACUUAAGUCUCUGUGGUUUUGCAUUACAGAGUUGGUGGUGGAUAUGAUCUCUUCUCUCUCUUGAAAAGCCAUGUCUGGGUCGUCUAUUCUGUUUUGUUUUGCCCUUUUGCCACUUCUCAGCUUUCAAUGCUAAUUAGGUUGCCAGGUGCCUGAAAAAUUCCGACUCAAAUCGUCAAAACCUAGUUCACACCUGGUUUGACAGUCCAUUCCCUCUUUAUGUAUGCCCUGAAAAAUCCAACUCAAAUCGUCAAAAGCUAGUUCACUCCAAGUUUCACAACCCAUUCUCUCUUUUUCUAACUUAUACAUAUCUCUUUCUAUUGAAAAUAAUUCAAAGUUCAAGUCUUUUCUACUUCAUUUCAUUACUGAAAUCUAACCCAGCUCAUCUAAUCCUUAAAAACCAUAUCUUCAUCUUCAAGAACCAAAACCGCUUCAAUUCAGCAAAUCCUGCAAAACCUAUCUCUGUUUUUAUCCAUUUGGUGUAAGAGCCAGCAGAGAUAACAUGCAAGAUCCAUCAACUGCA